GACGUAGGGGGCGAGCGUUAUUCGGAAUUAUUGGGCGUAAAGAGCUCGUAGGCGGUGUGUCGCGUCGGCCGUGAAAACCUGCAGCUUAACUGUGGGCUUGCGGUCGAUACGGGCAUGACUGGAGUUCGGCAGGGGAGACUGGAAUUCCUGGUGUAGCGGUGAAAUGCGCAGAUAUCAGGAGGAACACCGGUGGCGAAGGCGGGUCUCUGGGCCGAUACUGACGCUGAGGAGCGAAAGCGUGGGGAGCGAACAGG
Molecule: ribosomal RNA, 254 nt
Filed under: uncultured bacterium
Lineage: Bacteria
Description: partial 16S ribosomal RNA
Rfam family: Bacterial small subunit ribosomal RNA
Source: RNAcentral